AUGGCGAACACCAAGAAGAGGGAGAUGGUGUUCUUCGACGUGGAGGCGGCGCCGCCGUCCGGCGAGUGCCGCCUGCUGGAGUUCGCCGCCAUCCUCGUCUGCCCGCGCCGCCUCGUCGAGGUCUCCAGCUACUCCACCCUCAUCCGCCCGGACGACGCCGGCGCCGACGGUGGCGUCCUCUCCGCCUCCUCCGCCGCGCCCUCGUUCGAGGACGUCUUCCCGGACAUCUUCGAGCUGCUGGACGGCCGCGUGUGGGCGGGCCACGGCAUCCGGCGCGCCGGCUGCCCGCGCGUGCGCGGGGCCUUCGCCGCCUUCGGCCUGCCCGCGCCGGAGCCCGUGGGCGUCGUCGACUCCCUCGACGCGGCGGCGGCGGCCCUGGCGGAGCACUUCGGGAUCGGCGCGCGGCGGGCGCGGGGGCUCCGGUGCCUGGACGGCGCGCGCGUGAGCCUCGAGGUGCUCAAGCACUGCGCCGGCGUGCUGCUGCUCGAGUCCAGCCUCCGCGGCGACGUGCCCGCCGGCGCCAGCCGCAGGAGCAAGCCGGCGGCGACGCCCAAUCCCAUCAGCAACAACACGCUGGAGAAGGCCAUGAUCCUCAGGCACUCGAGGGCCGUCAUCAGAUGA
RNAcentral lists this ribosomal RNA (621 nucleotides) under Triticum aestivum (bread wheat). Its description in RNAcentral is "partial small subunit ribosomal RNA". The record is from RNAcentral. Lineage: Eukaryota; Viridiplantae; Streptophyta; Magnoliopsida; Poales; Poaceae.